This 1016-nucleotide ribosomal RNA is filed under the name Mesobacillus thioparans. RNAcentral's name for it is "bacterial SSU rRNA". It matches the Rfam family "Bacterial small subunit ribosomal RNA", at positions 23 to 1023 of the family's 1533-position model. Lineage: Bacteria; Bacillati; Bacillota; Bacilli; Caryophanales; Bacillaceae. The record is from RNAcentral.
ACUUGGAGGAGUUUUUAGGCAGGGGGUCUAUACAUGCAAGUCGAGCGGAUCUUCAUUAGCUUGCUUUUGAAGAUCAGCGGCGGACGGGUGAGUAACACGUGGGCAACCUGCCUGUAAGACUGGGAUAACUUCGGGAAACCGGAGCUAAUACCGGAUAAUCCUUUCCCUCACAUGAGGGAAAGCUGAAAGACGGCAUCUCGCUGUCACUUACAGAUGGGCCCGCGGCGCAUUAGCUAGUUGGUGAGGUAACGGCUCACCAAGGCAACGAUGCGUAGCCGACCUGAGAGGGUGAUCGGCCACACUGGGACUGAGACACGGCCCAGACUCCUACGGGAGGCAGCAGUAGGGAAUCUUCCGCAAUGGACGAAAGUCUGACGGAGCAACGCCGCGUGAACGAUGAAGGCUUUCGGGUCGUAAAGUUCUGUUGUCAGGGAAGAACAAGUACCGGAGUAACUGCCGGUACCUUGACGGUACGUGACCAGAAAGCCACGGCUAACUACGUGCCAGCAGCCGCGGUAAUACGUAUGUGGCAAGCGUUGUCCGGAAUUAUUGGGCGUAAAGCGCGCGCAGGCGGUUCCUUAAGUCUGAUGUGAAAGCCCCCGGCUCACCCGGGGGAGGGUCAUUGGAAAACUGGGGGAACUUGAGUGCAGAAGAGGAGAGCGGAAUUCCACGUGUAGCGGUGAAAUGCGUAGUAGAUGGUGGGAGGAACACCAGGUGGCCGAAGCGGCUUCUCUGGUCUGUACUGACGGCUGAGGCCGCGAAAGUCGUGGAGGAGCGAACAGACUUAGAUACCCCUGGGUAGUCCACGCCGUAAACGAUGAUGCUAGUGUUAGAGGGAUUCCGCCCUUUAUGCUGCAGCAAACGUCAUCAGCACUCCGCCUGGGGGGAGUACCGGCGGCAAGGCGUGAAACUCAAUGACUGACCGGAGCCCGCCACAGCGGUGACAUGGUGGAUAUCCGAGCACGCGACACCUUACAGUCUGGACUCCCUGACAUCCUAUGAUCACGUGCCGUCGG